CCUACGGGUUGCACCAGUGGGGAAUAUUGGACAAUGGGCGAAAGCCUGAUCCAGCAAUGCCGCGUGUGUGAAGAAGGUCUUCGGAUUGUAAAGCACUUUCGACGGGGANGAUGAUGACGGUACCCGUAGAAGAAGCCCCGGCUAACUUCGUGCCAGCAGCCGCGGUAAUACGAAGGGGGCUAGCGCUGCUCGGAAUGACUGGGCGUAAAGGGCGCGUAGGCGGUUUAUGCAGUCAGAUGUGGAAUCCCCGGGCUUAACCUGGGAACUGCAUUUGAGACGCAUAGACUAGAGGUCGAGAGAGGGUUGUGAAAUUCCCAGUGUAGAGGUGAAAUUCGUAGAUAUUGGGUAGAACACCGGUGGCGAAGGCGGCAACCUGGCUCGAUACUGACGCUGAGGCGCGAAAGCGUGGGGAGCAAACAGGAUUAGAUACCCUCGUAG
This 438-nucleotide ribosomal RNA is filed under the name uncultured bacterium. Its description in RNAcentral is "bacterial SSU rRNA". It matches the Rfam family "Bacterial small subunit ribosomal RNA", at positions 338 to 793 of the family's 1533-position model. The record is from RNAcentral.